RNAcentral lists this ribosomal RNA (113 nucleotides) under Caerostris darwini. The record is from RNAcentral. Lineage: Eukaryota; Metazoa; Arthropoda; Arachnida; Araneae; Araneidae.
UUACGGCCGUACCAUGCUGAAUAUACCGGUUCUCGUUAGAUCACCGAAGUUAAGCAUCAUUGGGCGCGGUCAGUACUUGGGUGGGUGACCCCCUGGGAACACUGCGUGCCGUU